This 596-nucleotide long non-coding RNA is filed under the name Bemisia tabaci. RNAcentral's name for it is "lncRNA ENSASIAIIG008398". The record is from RNAcentral. Lineage: Eukaryota; Metazoa; Arthropoda; Insecta; Hemiptera; Aleyrodidae.
CCGGCGCGAAAGUUGUGUCGCUCCACUCUCGAAACUCCCGCGUCUGACUCUAGCGCACGGCUGCACCGCUCGCCUCGUGCUCAACGUCCUCGUCGUCUUGGUUGUCGUGCCACCUCCGCUCGGUCCCCGAACUCGCUCCUAGAUCCUCGGUGCCCGGUCCCCGGUUCGUCCCUUCCGCUGGAGCUUAUCUCAUCGCGGAAAGUUUACUACUUUAGUGUCGUGUGCUUCCUUUGACCCUGUCGCCUCCGCGGCCGCUGGACCCCGCCUUGUCUCCAGGCGGCCGGUUGUUUUCUUCGUACAUAGGCUUGCUCGGUUCGAUUGGCUGACUCUGCUUGGCUGCUUUCAGAGGCACACAAUCAGCAAUAGUACUGCAAAUAAUAAAGACGAAACAGUUUGAGAAGUUGAUACUCAAAAAUCGAAUUAACAAGUCGGUUUUAAUACCUAGGUACGUUACUACCAUAUCAUGAAGGGAAUGGAUACCACAUAUGAAGGUAGUUCAGAUAACAUACUUCUGUACAAUUGUAGGGGCUGCUCGCAUCGUUUUCUAUGAGGAUAUAAACAAACACAAAUGGGCAAUCAAGUCUAAUAAAAAUAAU